CUCUGUUCUGCUGGCCAUGAGAAAAUGUACCUGUUUCCCCUUUGCCUUCCGCCAUGAUUUUAAGUUUCCUAAGGCCUCCUCAGCCCUGCUUCUGGUACAACCUGCAGAAUGGCUCAUAUUUGGAAGGGACUUAACCUUGUCUCAGAAGAAAAUUUGGACAUGGACUUUUGAGUUAAUGCUGGAAUGAAUUAAGACUUUGGGGAACUGUUGGGAAGGCAUAAUUGUGUUUUGAAAUGUAAGAAGGACAUGAGAUUUGGGAGGGGCUGGGGCAGAAUAAAAUGGUUUGGCUGUGUGUUCCCACCCAAAUCUCAUGUCUAACUGUAAUUCCUAGAGUUGGGGGAGGGGCCUGGUGGGAGGUGACUGAAUCCUGGGGGUUGACUUUCCCCUUGCUGUUCUCCUGAUAGAGUUCUCGCAAGGUCUGGUUGUUAGAAAGUGUGUAGCGCCUCCCCCUUUGCUCUCUCUCUUUCCUGCCAGCCAUGUGAAGAUGUGUCUGCUUCUUCACCUUCCACCAUGAUUGUAAGUUUUCUAAAGCCUCCCCAGCCAUGUUUCCUGUACAGCCUGCAGAACUGUGAAUCAAUUAAACCUCUUUUCUUCAUAAAUUAUCCAGCCUCAGGUAUAUCUUUAUAGCAGUGUGAAAACAAACUAAUGCAGACCCUGUUCCCAAAUACAGUCACAUUCUGAGGCACUGGGGGCUGGGAAUUCAACAUAUGAAUCUGGAGAGACAUGGUUCAGAACAUAACAACUUCCAGUUAUAUAACUUCAAUGCUACGUGAUGACUGGCUCAUAUAUUUGAAAAACUUUCACAUGAAAAAGGGACAAGACAAGGACCAAUGUGUGGAAGGUAAAAGCUGAAAUUUUCAGCUGAACAAAAGGAAGGCCUAUGUGAUAAUGAGGGGGGUCUAGUUAUUACAGGCUGCAUUCCCUGAUAGUGUGUCCCUGCCACAGGAAGGGCACAGCAGAGGCUGAGUGGACCACUAUCGUGCCUGUCUUUGGGGAAAUCCAGCAUAAGCCUCCAAAAUCCCUUUUCCUCUUUUAAUUUGAUGACAUUAAUGAAGGAAUAUGAGCUCACAGGGAUUAAAUCAAGAUGAUUAAAACAAAGAAGUAGAAAAUAUGGUCACACGUCUACAGUGUGUCUACAAACACGGCAUAAUCAGAUAUGAGAAAAAGGAGUUUUGUGAAAUGUUAGAGUCACACCCUCCCUGACGUGAGCAAUACAGUGGCCAGCAAGGCAGGAGAGGAUGUGCUCUGUAUCAAGAAUGUGAGGCCUACGGUAAAGCUGACCGGUACAGGUGGAGCAAGACCAACUAAGAAGCAUCUUUCCCUGGAGAAAACUGUCACUCAUCAAGAGGAUGUCCAUGGCAAUCUAAGUGGAGAUUUUCCCAAAGGGACUACAAAUGUCAGAACCCAGGUGAUCUGACAUCAAUGAAUCUUCCUGAAAGCCCCUUGGGAUGUCAUCUGAUGACAUGAGUUAGCAUUGGUGGACUAGGGUUGGGAGAUCUGACUUGAGAGCCAAUUUCUCUGUGUACACUAGUCAGCUGACCUAAGGUGUGUCAUUGCCUUCUCUGAGUCUCAAGCUCCUCAUCUGUAAAAUAGAAAGAAUAUGGCCUUACCCUGACAGCAUAUUGUAAAAAUUGAUGAGAUAUGAUUUAACUAUAAAUGUGCUAUGAAUUUAACCAUGCAAUUUAAUUUAUGUAACUGUG
This 1700-nucleotide long non-coding RNA is filed under the name Homo sapiens (human). RNAcentral describes it as "HSALNT0295405". Lineage: Eukaryota; Metazoa; Chordata; Mammalia; Primates; Hominidae. The record is from RNAcentral.